Molecule: RNA transcript, 2207 nt
Organism: Mandrillus leucophaeus (drill)
Lineage: Eukaryota; Metazoa; Chordata; Mammalia; Primates; Cercopithecidae
Gene name: SRSF protein kinase 1 pseudogene
Exons: 1
Source: RefSeq, a predicted model, not a curated record
AGGCGCCUGGCAGUUAUUGGUCUCACCAUGGAGUGGAAAGUGUUUGCGCUCCAGGCCCGAAAGAAAAGGACCAUACCCAAGAAGGACAAAGCCCAAAGGAAAUCUGAAACUCAGCACCGAGGCUCUGCUCUCCACUCCAAGAGUGAUCUACCAGAUCAGGAAGAGGAGAUUCUGGGAUCUGAUGAUGAUAAGCAAGAAGAUCCUAAUGAUUAUUGUAAAGGAAGUUAUCAUCUUGUGAAAAUUGGAGAUCUAUUCAACGGGAGAUACCACGUGAUCCAAAAGUUAGGCUGGGGACACUUUUCAAUGAUAUGGUUAUCAUGGGAUAUUCACGGGAAGAAAUUUGUGGCAAUGAAAGUAGUUAAAAGUGCUGAACAUUACACUGAAACAGCACUAGAUAAAAUCCGGUUGCUGAAGUCAGCUCGCAAUCCAGAUCCUAAUAAUCCAAAUAGAGAAAUGGUUGUACAACUACUAGACGACUUUAAAAUAUCAAGAGUUAAUGGAACACAUAUCUGCAUGGUAUUUGAAGUUUUGGGGCAUCAUCUGCUCAAGUGGAUCACCAAGUCCAAUUAUCAGGGGCUUCCACUGCUUUGUGUCAAAAAAAUUAUUCAGCAAGUUGUUACAGAGUCUUGAUUAUUUACAUACCAAGUGCCGUAUCAUCCACACUGACAUUAAACCAGAGAACAUCUUAUUGUCAGUGAAUGAGCAGUACUUUCGGAGCCUGGCUGCAGAAGCAACCAAAUGGCAGCAGUCUGGAGCUCCUCCACCUUCUGGAUCUGCAGUCAGUACUGCUCCCCAACCUAAACCAGCUGACAAAAUGUCAAAGAAGAAGAAGAAGAAAUUGAAGAAGAGGCAGAAGCGCCAGGCAGAAUUACUAGAGAAGCGAAUGCAGGAAAUUGAGGAAAUGGAGAGAGUCGGACCUUGGGCAAAAAAGACCAAACAAGCAAGAAGAAUCAGAGAGUCCUGUUGAAAGACCCUUGAAAGAGAACCCACCUAAUAAAAUGACCCAAGAAAAACUUGAAGAGUCAAGUACGUUGGCCAGGAUCAAACACUUAUGGAACGUGAUACAGAGGGUGGUGCAGCAGAAAUAAAUUGCAAUGGAGUGAUUGAAGUCAUUAAUUAUACUCAGAACAGUAAUAAUGAAACAUUGAGGCAUAAAGAGGAUCUACAUAAUGCUAAUGACCGUGAUGUCCAAAAUUUGAAUCAGGAAUCUAGUUUCCUAAGCUCCCAAAAUGGAGACAGUAGCACAUCUCAAGAAACAGACUCCUAUAACAUCUGAGGUGUCAGACUCCAUGGUGUGCCAGUCUUCCUCAACUAUAGAUUAGUCAUUCAGUGAAGAGUACAUUAGCCAACUUCAAGAAAGCAUUCGGUCAGAGAUACCCUGUGAAGAUGAACAAGAGCAAGAACAUAAUGGACCACUGGACAACAAAGGAAAAUCCACGGCUGGAAAUUUUCUUGUUAAUUCCCUUGAGCCAAAAAAUGCAGAAAAGUUCAAGGUGAAGAUUGCUGAUCUUGGAAAUGCUUGUUGGGUGCACAAACAUUUCACUGAAGAUAUUCAAACGAGGCAAUAUCAUUCCUUGGAAGUUCUAAUAGGAUCUGGCUGUAAUACCCCUGCUGACAUUUGGAGCAUGACAUGCAUGGCCUUUGAACUGGCCACAGAUGCCUAUUUAUUUGAACCUCAUUCAGGGGAAGAGUACACUCAAGAUGAAGAUCACAUUGCAUUGAUCAUAGAACUUCUAGUGAAGGUGCCUUGCAAGCUCAUUGUGGCAGGAAAAUAUUCCAAGGAAUUUUUCACCAAAAAAGGUGACCUGAAACGUAUCAUGAAGCUGAAACCUUGGGGCCUUUUUGAGGUUCUAGUGGAGAAGUAUGAGUGGUCUCAGGAAGAGGCAGCUGGCUUCACAGAUUUGUUACUGCCCAUGUUGGAGUUGAUCCCUGAAAAGAGAGCCACUGCCACCGAGUGUCUCUGCCACCCUUGGCUUAACUCCUAAGCCCCUGGCCAGCACCACAGCAGAGAUCACACACUGACCCUCAGCCCUUCCCCUCCAAGCAUUUUCCUCUUCCCUUUUUAGGGUGAAGCUCUUUCUUCAAGAGUUUCUAGAUCUUUUUUUUUUUUUUUUUUUUUCGUAAUCCAACAUGUUCAUUUGGGUUUGCUUACUUGACACUGUGGAGAUCCCCACAGCCAUUGGGCAUCCUAGGUGAAUUUGGCCUUG